RNAcentral lists this ribosomal RNA (506 nucleotides) under uncultured bacterium. RNAcentral describes it as "partial 16S ribosomal RNA". It matches the Rfam family "Bacterial small subunit ribosomal RNA", at positions 30 to 523 of the family's 1533-position model. The record is from RNAcentral.
AUUGAACGCUGGCGGCAGGCCUAACACAUGCAAGUCGAACGGCAGCACAGAAGAGCUUGCUCUUUGGGUGGCGAGUGGCGGACGGGUGAGUAAUGUCUGGGAAACUGCCCGAUGGAGGGGGAUAACUACUGGAAACGGUAGCUAAUACCGCAUAACGUCGCGAGACCAAAGUGGGGGACCUUCGGGCCUCACACCAUCGGAUGUGCCCAGAUGGGAUUAGCUAGUAGGUGGGGUAAUGGCUCACCUAGGCGACGAUCCCUAGCUGGUCUGGGAGGAUGACCAGCCACACUGGAACUGAGACACGGUCCAGACUCCUACGAGAGGCAGCAGUGGGGAAUAUUGCACAAUGGGCGCAAGCCUGAUUCAGCCAUGCCGCGUGUAUGAAGAAGGCCUUCGGGUUGUAAAGUACUUUCAGCGGGGAGGAAGGCGGUGAGGUUAAUAACCUUGCCGAUUGACGUUACCCGCAGAAGAAGCACCGGCUAACUCCGUGCCAGCCGCCGCCGUAA